RNAcentral lists this unclassified non-coding RNA (333 nucleotides) under soil metagenome. RNAcentral's name for it is "partial contains 5.8S ribosomal RNA, internal transcribed spacer 2, and large subunit ribosomal RNA". The stretch from base 1 to 120 matches the Rfam family "5.8S ribosomal RNA", at positions 35 to 154 of the family's 154-position model. The record is from RNAcentral.
GAUGAAGAACGCAGCGAAAUGCGAUAAGUAAUGUGAAUUGCAGAAUUCAGUGAAUCAUCGAAUCUUUGAACGCACAUUGCGCCCGCCAGUAUUCUGGCGGGCAUGCCUGUUCGAGCGUCAUUUCAACCAUCAAGCCCUGCUUGCGUUGGGGUCCUGCGGCUGCCCGCAGGCCCUGAAAACCAGUGGCGGGCUCGCUAGUCACACCGAGCGCAGUAAUACAUCUCGCUUUGGGCGUGCGGCGGGUUCUUGCCGUUAAACACCCCCUUUUUACCAAGGUUGACCUCGGAUCAGGUAGGAAUACCCGCUGAACUUAAGCAUAUCAAUAACGGAGGA